UGGGGAAUAUUGGACAAUGGGCGAAAGCCUGAUCCAGCCAUGCCGCGUGUGUGAAGAAGGCCUUAUGGUUGUAAAGCACUUUAAGCGAGGAGGAGGGUACUGGUAUUAAUACUACCAGGUACUGGACGUUACUCGCAGAAUAAGCACCGGCUAACUCUGUGCCAGCAGCCGCGGUAAUACAGAGGGUGCGAGCGUUAAUCGGAUUUACUGGGCGUAAAGCGUGCGUAGGCGGCUGAUUAAGUCGGAUGUGAAAUCCCUGAGCUUAACUUAGGAAUUGCAUUCGAUACUGGUCAGCUAGAGUAUGGGAGAGGAUGGUAGAAUUCCAGGUGUAGCGGUGAAAUGCGUAGAGAUCUGGAGGAAUACCGAUGGCGAAGGCAGCCAUCUGGCCUAAUACUGACGCUGAGGUACGAAAGCAUGGGGAGCAAACAGG
This 430-nucleotide ribosomal RNA is filed under the name Pseudomonadota bacterium. Its description in RNAcentral is "Proteobacteria bacterium partial 16S ribosomal RNA". It matches the Rfam family "Bacterial small subunit ribosomal RNA", at positions 355 to 776 of the family's 1533-position model. The record is from RNAcentral. Lineage: Bacteria; Pseudomonadati; Pseudomonadota.